RNAcentral lists this ribosomal RNA (519 nucleotides) under uncultured eukaryote. Its description in RNAcentral is "SSU rRNA". It matches the Rfam family "Eukaryotic small subunit ribosomal RNA", at positions 1161 to 1700 of the family's 1831-position model. The record is from RNAcentral.
AGGGCACCACCAGGAGUGGAGCCUGCGGCUUAAUUUGACUCAACACGGGGAAACUUACCCGGCCUGGACACUGGAAGGAUUGACAGAUUGAGAGCUCUUUCUUGAUUCAGUGGGUGGUGGUGCAUGGCCGUUCUUAGUUGGUGGAGCGAUUUGUCUGGUUAAUUCCGAUAACGAACGAGACUCUAGCCUAUUAAAUAGGCUCCCGGCUUUUAAACGCCGGGAGGACUUCUUAGAGGGACAGGUGGCGGUUCAGCCGCACGAAAGAGAGCAAUAACAGGUCUGUGAUGCCCUUUGUUGCCCGGGGCCGCACGCGCGCUACACUGAAGAGAUCAGCGUGCUUUACGUUCCUGCUCCGACCGGAGUGGGGAACCCAGUGAACCUUCUUCGUGAUUGGGAUAGAAGAUUGUAAUUAUUCUUCUUGAACGAGGAAUUCCCAGUAAAUGCGAGAAUAAGCUCGCGUUGAUUACGUCCCUGCCCUUUGUACACACCGCCCGUCGCUACUACCAAUUUAACAAAAAA